GCCAAACUACCCUACAGACCAGCAUAACCUCGGGAAACUGAGGCCAAUACUGGAUGGCGCUUCGACGGUGGAACGCCCCGAAGCGCGAAACGUUCAGGCGCUGUAGGAUGUGGCUGCGGCCGAUUAGGUAGACGGUGGGGUAACGGCCCACCGUGCCGAUAAUCGGUACGGGUCGUGAGAGCGAGAGCCCGGAGACGGUAUCUGAGACAAGAUUCCGGGCCCUACGGGGCGCAGCAGGCGCGAAACCUUUACACUGCACGCAAGUGCGAUAAGGGGACCCCGAGUGCGAGGGCAAACAGUCCUCGCUUUUCACCACCGUAAGGUGGUGGUGGAAUAAGAGCUGGGCAAGACCGGUGCCAGCCGCCGCGGUAAUACCGGCAGCUCGAGUGAUGGCCGAUUUUAUUGGGCCUAAAGCGUUCGUAGCCGGCCACGCAAGUCCACCGGGAAAUCCGCCAGCCCAACUGGCGGGCGUCCGGUGGAAACUGUGUGGCUAGGGACCGGAAGACCCGAAGGGUACGUCUUGGGUAGGAGUAAAAUCCUGUAGUCCUGGACGGACCGCCGAUGGCGAAAGCGCUGCGGGAAGACGGAUCCGACGGUGAGGGACGAAAGCCAGGGUCUCGAACCGGAUUAGAUACCCGGGUAGUCCUGGCCGUAAACGAUGUCUGCUAGGUGUGGCUCCCACUACGAGUGGGUGCUGUGCCGUA
Molecule: ribosomal RNA, 704 nt
Filed under: uncultured archaeon
Lineage: Archaea
Description: bacterial SSU rRNA
Rfam family: Archaeal small subunit ribosomal RNA
Source: RNAcentral